CCACGCUGCCAAGAAAAGCGUCUAGAGAGAGAAGUAGUGCCCGUACCGCAAACCGACACAGGUAGGUGAGGAGAGAAUCCUAAGGCCGGCGGAAGAAUUACAGUUAAGGAACUCGGCAAAUUGACCCCGUAAGUUCGCGAGAAGGGGUGCCUACGAGAGUAGGCCGCAGAGAAUAGGCCCAAGCAACUGUUUAGCAAAAACACAGGUCUCUGCUAAAGCGUAAGCUGAUGUAUAGGGGCUGACGCCUGCCCGGUGCUGGAAGGUUAAGGGGAACACUUAGCGCAAGCGAAGGUGUGAACUUAAGCCCCAGUAAACGGCGGCCGUAACUAUAACGGUCCUAAGGUAGCGAAAUUCCUUGUCAGGUAAGUUCUGACCCGCACGAAUGGCGUAAUGACUUGGGCACUGUCUCAACUGUAAAUCCGGCGAAGUUGUAGUGCGAGUGAAGAUGCUCGCUACCCGCGAUUGGACGGAAAGACCCCGUAGAGCUUUACUGUAGCUUAGCAUUGAGUUUUGGUAUUGUCUGUACAGGAUAGGUGGGAGACUAGGAAACCAGGGCGUCAGCCUUGGUGGAGUCAACCUUGGGAUACCACCCUGACAGUACUGAAAUUCUAACUGGCGGCCAUGAAUCUGGUCACAGGACAUUGUUAGGUGGGCAGUUUGACUGGGGCGGUCGCCUCCUAAAAAGUAACGGAGGCGCCCAAAGGUUCCCUCAGAACGGUCGGAAAUCGUUCGAAGAGUGCAAAGGCAGAAGGGAGCCUGACUGCGACACCCACAAGUGGAGCAGGGACGAAAGUCGGGCUUAGUGAUCCGGUGGUACCUCGUGGGAGGGCCAUCGCUCAACGGAUAAAAGCUACCUCGGGGAUAACAGGCUGAUCUCCCCCAAGAGUCCACAUCGACGGGGAGGUUUGGCACCUCGAUGUCGGCUCGUCGCAUCCUGGGGCUGAAGUAGGUCCCAAGGGUUGGGCUGUUCGCCCAUUAAAGCGGCACGCGAGCUGGGUUCAGAACGUCGUGAGACAGUUCGGUCCCUAUCCGUCGCGGGCGUAGGAAAUUUGAGAGGAGCUGUCCUUAGUACGAGAGGACCGGGAUGGACUGACCUCUGGUGUACCAGUUGUUCCGCCAGGAGCACAGCUGGGUAGCUAAGUCGGGAAUGGAUAAACGCUGAAAGCAUCUAAGCGUGAAGCCAACCUCAAGAUGAGAUUUCCCAUAGCGUAAGCUAGUAAGAUCCCUUGAAGAACACAAGGUUGAUAGGUCGGGGGUGUAAGCAUGGUAACAUGUUCAGCUGACCGAUACUAAUAGAUCGAGGGCUUGACCAA
This 1313-nucleotide ribosomal RNA is filed under the name Escherichia coli. RNAcentral describes it as "partial 23S ribosomal RNA". It matches the Rfam family "Bacterial large subunit ribosomal RNA", at positions 1600 to 2925 of the family's 2925-position model. Lineage: Bacteria; Pseudomonadati; Pseudomonadota; Gammaproteobacteria; Enterobacterales; Enterobacteriaceae. RNAcentral also lists the same sequence under 1 other name. The record is from RNAcentral.